Molecule: long non-coding RNA, 5300 nt
Filed under: Olea europaea subsp. europaea
Lineage: Eukaryota; Viridiplantae; Streptophyta; Magnoliopsida; Lamiales; Oleaceae
Source: RNAcentral
CAAUUUUUUUUAUAAAAAAAAGUGACAAAUUCAAAAAAUAAUGAUACAAAUAAAAAAAAAAAGUGACAAAUACUCAAAAAGUAACAAAAUUGAAAAAAAGUGACAAACUAAAAGAAAAAAAAAAGUGACAAAAAGUAAAGAAGUGACAAAAUAACCCAAAAAGUGACAUUCAUUCCCCUAUCUGUGAAAAGUUGACAGAAUAAGUACUUUUUUCUUUUAAUUCUGUUUUGGCAUUACCUCUUUUAUCUUAUUUACGGUCUAUAUUUCUUCACAUACACUGCUUAAUAUAGAAUGUUAUAUGAUCAUCAAUAAAUCAAACUAUUAAACAUUGAUUUACACAUUUGCAGGUCCAUUGACAUAUAAAGAUUUUAACUCUACUUCAAAUUCAUGGAGAAAAUAACAUGUGAACAGAUUUACAAGAAGCCUAGAAAAAACAAUGUUGUUAAAUGAGCUAGAAAUUAUUAAAAAGAUCAUAAUUGAUGAUACAAUAAUCAUACAUUUAUUCCAGGUAAACUCAACUGAUGAAUUUGAUAAUUGAUAACUGUUUAAUAAAUAUUCAAACUUUGGAAUCUCAAAACCUACAUCCAAAAUAUGCAGAAAUUUCCAUUAAAUAAAUAUCCAUAACAAAUUAAGUUCUAACCACAUAAUUUCCUAAUAAAAAUACUUCAAAACCGUAUCAAGAGUUAUAAACUUAACCUAGCCUAAUUGCAACUUCAAAUUGAAAUACUCAAAACUGAAGAAAUUACACUUUUAGAACAGCAUGAAGCUAAAAUUGAAAACGAAUUUUGAUGCAGCAUUUCACAACUAAAAAAGGUAGAAUGAAGUUUGCCAUGAAAAUUACUUUAUUUUAGAACAAUGGUGCAAAACAUCAGAAGCAUGGAAGAUCGCAAAUAUUCAAUAAUAUUUCAGGCUUCACUCAACUUUGAUCCUCAGUUCCUCCAUCUAAGCUCACAAGCUUACUGCAUGUUAGAGCCACGUCAUUUGGUGCGUAUGAUGUUAUUAUAGCAUCAAUUAAUUGACCAAGUGCUUCUUGUUGAAAAUUUCAACAAUGAUAUUUAAUUAGGAAUGAUGAAGAAAUAACUCCAAAGUUUCUCUUUUGGAAUUGGGGACCAUUUUUGUAGAUUGAGGAGGGUUUUUCUUCGAAAAUUGAAUCACGUUUUGUUUUGGCUCUUUUGGGGAUUUUGUGUGUGCACACUUUCAAGGGUUGUUGAUUUGGAAGGGAGUUGGGGGGGGGGGGGGGGGGGGGGGGGUUAUAACAUAUUAAUUACGCUUUGAAAUUGUUUAAUUGAUUAAUAGAGUAUUAAUCAAAUUAGUUAAAUUUUUCAAGGCAUUGGGCCUAAUUUAUCCAUUUUUCGCUCCUCGGGCCAAGCACUUUCGCCAGGAAACCUUGGCUCCCUUCGUGCACGAAAGCGGGUUUCAAAGAUCUCUAAUAAUCAAUUCUAAAAUACAGUCAAGGCACCUCAAUGAACUAUAUGUAUAUGGUAACAACCCCUUCAUCCCCAGUCGAUCCCUCAGUGUAGUAUAGAACACGAUCAAGUCCCCUCUGUGAACUCGAAGUAGUAUAUAAUCAUGGGUACUCUUCUGAUCCAUCUCAAUAUCACAUGUCUCACAUUCCAAAUCACAAAUAUUUCAUAUCUAAUCUUUGAAUUCCACAAAUAUCAUAACGAAAGAAUAUUUCGACAAUAAUCACGUAAUCGAAUAUAUAAGUGCACAUGAUAUAAUAGUAUAUUUAAAUUUAUUCCACUCACUGAUCUAUGGAUAUAAAUUUGAUUAAAUUGAUGAGCCUUUUCAAGAUUCCACGUCCCUAUCUGAAAUAACGGUAUAAUUUUUCGAAUUAAAACCUAACAAUUAAAUUAAUAUAAAUCCACCACUUAACUUCUCAACUUCUAUACUUACUUUUACAUCUCCAAUUCCCCAACUUUUCUUCUGUUCAAUGAUUUAUCAACUGAUCACCAUACACUAUCAAAUCCAUUACACCACUCACACAUCCUUAAAAUCACUACCUUGUUCAUAUACAACCCAUACACAUAGUUAGUCCAAUACAUAGACUUCAAAAAUUGUCAUAUAAAUUUAUUCAAACCUUUAAAAAUCUGAAAAUCCAAAGUUUGAAAAAAAAAAAAAAAAAACAGCACUAAAAUUCCAUAAAAUAGCCAAUUUCUGUAUAUUGAAAUUUGGCAUCGAAACCUUUGAUGGAAAUAGCACUUUUCUGGGUAGAAUUUCAAAAUUAACACCUGUACUACAAUAGCUCGAAAAUUGAUUUUAAAAAAAUGAAGAAUUCCAAUCUCAAAUACCUAAUUUAAGUGUUUAGCAUCAUAUAAUCACAAGAAGCUCAAAGAAUAUAUCUUUUAUCUCACAACCCGCUUCUAAACUUCUACUUACUUCAACUCCAAUUUUCAAAUAAACAUUUCCUUACAAUAUUCUUAUUUAAAACCUUGAAUACACAUCAACAACACUUAAUUCUUGCUAACUUCAAACUUUUAAAGAUAAGUUCCAUAAACCCUAAAGGAGAUAAUUUCACAUUCUUAUACUUACCUCUCUAAAUCAAAGGGGGAAAUUGAGAACUUAACCUUGUAAAAUUCGAACCUACCCCUUCGUUCUUUUUCUUUUUCUCUUCCAUUUCCUCCCUUUUCCUUCCAUGGUUUCGUUCCUGCUUCUCCAUAAUCCAUUCAGUUUUUGUCCCCCAAAAUGACCAAAAAGAGAUCAAUUAUCCUUUAAGUUAGCGGUAUAAUAUUGCACCUAAAGUCCCCAUCCUUAAUAUAAUAUACCAUUUACUCCUUUAAUUCCAAUAAAUAGAAAACAAAUCCCUAAUUGUCUAUAUAUAUAUAUACACUUUUGGCCCUUAAGUACUUGUAAUUGUAAAUUAAGCCCCAUAAAAAUUAUUUGUUCAACUUAAGUCCUUAUUAACUUUAAAUUUGACCAAUUACUUUGCUUGACUUUGACUCAAAAUAAGUGGGGUGUAAUAAUCUCACCUACUUCAAAGAAUUUCGUCUUCAAAAUUCAAUCCACUAGAAUUCGAACAUAUUAGAAAAUAAAGCAAAAAUAAUGAAUGAUUUCUCCAACAACCUUUAACGAGGCCCAAAGUUCAUUAUUUCCUUAUUAUACUUCGAAUAACUUUCCUAUGAACCAAUAUAUGAUAUUUUCAACUUUUCAUUUUACAUUUCUCAUUUCUCCUUCUCUAUAAAUAUGCACUCCCUGCAAUAUCCAUAUACAUAUUCAGCUUAUCUUCUUCUCUUGUAAUUUUCCAUUUCACUUUUCAGUUAUGCCCAUAUACAACACACAACUUAUUAAUGCAGUUUUCAAUUCCUCAUCCUUUUCUUUCCAUGCCUCAAAGUUUCAUUGUCAAUUUAAUUCUUUCAGACACCACAACUAUAUGUAGAGAGAAUCCAAAAUUUUGCACAACUUCAAAAAUACUUACCCGUACUAAAGUAAGAAACUUGAGCUAACCAAUUUCUUAAAUAAAGAAAGAAAAAUUCAACACCUAGACUUUGUCUCUAUUCCUUUUUUUUUCUUUCCUUCUCCAACCUCAUUUAUCACUAAUCUUUCUCAUUUUGUAACCUACGAUAUAAUUGGUCAAGGCAGUCAUAAUCCCAUCCUAUAUUUUUCUCGAAGUAUACAUGACUGUUAAUCUCCUCAAUGUGUAAUAUGCAUAAUAAAACAAUGUAUUUUAUUGAUCAACAUUCUAUAUAAUAUUAUCAUUUUGUCCUCCACAAAAUUCUUAUCAUAUAGCAUAAGUAUACACCAACAUGCUUCCUACUCUCAUCCCAAAGAUAUGACCACAAUUCACUACAAUUUUCGAUAGCGCUAAUGAUCAUUUAGCUCCUCGACAUAAUCAAAAUCCCUCACAGAUUAUCACCAAUUACACAUAUUAUAUCAUUUCCUUGUAUUAUUGUGCAAGCUAUAACUAAAGAUUUUCUUAUGUAUACAUAAAAAAAUUAUGUAAUUUUACAAAUAAAUUGAUACUUAAAUGGUUGUACCAUCUAUCACUUUGAAUGCCUAUACAUAAACAACCUGCAAAAUCAUCAAAAUCGGUUCAGCUCUUAAUAUUUUACAUAUACCAUGGUUCCAACCCAACAAUUAAUAACAUUUCCAACCAUCAGAUCAUUGCAACUAUCAUACUUACAUACUAGUCAUUUUUGGAUCUAUAAAAAAUAUUUUUCUAUCAUUUUCGGUUCCAUACAUUGGAGUCUGAGAGCCUGUGAUUUCCAUCACCUCCACGACAUAUGACCAUAUGCACUGAAUAUGCAUCAUAUGCCAAUGCAAGAGCUAUGAAAACUUUCAAAACUUUAUAAACCAUGCUUAGAUACCACUUUGACAUGACCCGUCUCUAAUCACUCUAGUGGACCCGAAACGUGACGUGAGCCGAUGGUAGAUGCUGACUAGAUGCCAAAUCCAUCACCAAGGCUAACCAUGAGCUGCUACAAAAUAUGCACCAAAAUCAAAUGUUUAUGAAAAAUAUAAUAUAAUGGGCCAGAAAUAAUUACUUCAUGUUUUAUCAAAAAUGAAUCGAAUCACUCAAUAUGUCGUGUGACUCUAAUUCAAUUCUAAAACCGCCAGGCUCUUCAAGCUAUCAAAGACCAAUACUAUCGUAAGAAAAAUCAUGAAAAAAUAUGAGUUUAUCAUUCAGUGAGUGGAAGAGUUCGAAAAUAAUUAUACUUUUUCAUUUAAACAUUUUUUUCAUACAUAACAUAGACAUCAAGUUCAUAUCAUUUAGUAAUUCAUACGAUAGCGUCAUACAAUUAUAGCCAAAAAAUGAGAUAUUUUCAUAACUCUGUAAAUAUCAUCUCAUAUUCACGAUAUAGUCAUUAGCUGUUAUCUAUACCAUCAUCCCAUCACACUAUAUGUGAUCCACAGAAAAUGUACCUUCUAACUAAAAUCUGAAAUCCGCCUCUCGGGCCAAGCACUUUAACCACAGGCCUUUGGCUCCCUCCAUGCACGAAAGCGAGUCUCAAAGACCUCUAAUAAUCAAUUUUAGAACACGAUCAAGGUCCCUUAGUAAAUUAUAUGUACACGGUCACGAUCCCUUUAUCCCUAGUUAACCCUUAGUGUAGUAUAGAACACGAUCAAUGCCUCUUAGUGAGCUAGAAGAAGUAUAUAAUCAUGAGUACUUUUCUUGUCCAUCUUAAUAUCACGUCUCACAUUCCAAAUCACAAAUAUUUCAUAUUUAAUCUUUGAAUUCCUUAAAUAUCAUAAUGAAAGAAUAUUUCCACAACAAUCAUGUAAUCGAAUAUAUAAGUGCACAUAAUGUAAUAAUAUAAUUAAUUUAUCAAUACUUGAAUAUAUUUAAUUGCACUAUGGCGCUA